AAUAUCUAACACUAAAAACACUAGCAAUAAUAGUCAAAAUGACUGAUUCUAUAAUUUUAUAAAUGUGUCAACCCUCGUUUAGGGAUCCCAGAUGGAUUAAUAAUAAGAAAAGUGUACUACAUAACAUUGAAUUGCUUCUGUAAGAAAGUAAUAGAUCAAUAAAUAUAAAAGUAUUCUAUUAUUACGUAUUUUCUAAAGACCAGUCAUUUUCACUGGUUUUGGUAACAAUAGCUUCGUGUUAACUGUCGUUAGUUCUAGUGUUAAUAGCGCUUUGCUCCGACGAAUUCCAUAAACUGCAAGCUCCACGAAACGUUUAACGAAUAUCGAAAUUAAUAAUAAAUAUCGAGUUGAAAAAAAUCGAGCGUAAUGGUUUGUUUUUUAGCCACCCGGUAGAUUACACGGCCGGUUUAACGCAGGAAAGCUACUUAUUCCCCGUCGGACCGGAGCCUCGCCGGCAAUCAUACGGCAUUAACACUUUAACCUACUCGCUCUCAAAGCUCUUACCAUUUCAGCCGUGGCACUCUCUUUUGAACGGUCAAUAUGGUAGGCAUAUUUGAAUAUUCGUGUGUAUACAAGAGUCUUCGAAAUAAUUAUCGAUCACGGCGGGUAAAAGACGAAACAGAAUAAUAAAGAGUAUACAUUAGUAUUGCAAUAAGAACAACGGAACGGUUUUGUCUUCAUUUUUAGAAUUUAUAUUCAGCUAGAAUCAAACAUACGAUAAUCACUUAUUAUUCACGUUAUAGUACCACGUCAGAAUAAUUUACUUAUAAUUCUCAAUGAGAAUUGAUUGUAAAUUACUUCCAGAUAAAAGAAAAAAAUUUUUUUUUAGAGUAGCAUUUAGUAGGAAAACAUCGAUCAGAGAAGCGGUAUGUAUAUACGUAAUGGGGAAAACCCAUCGAGAGUACGAAGAACGAAGGGUACUAUGUAAAUUUGCGUAUAAUUAUUUAUAUUAGGUUGUCGGAAAAGCGUCUUUCUUUUACAGACACGUAUUUUACAACGACGCAUCUUUAUACAAACAUGAAACCUAAUCUGUCGCACGUUGCAAAAAAAUGUUGUGCAUCCUUGUUGUUUCCUUGUAAAACGAAGGAAACCUUUCGGACGAUUUAAUUUCGAAUUUCCUCCUCUGCAAGUAUUUCUUAAUGAUUGGAGAAAAAGAACUGCCAAAAUUGCGUUUCUAUUUGGUGUUAAAUAUUAAUAAACGCGUGUAUUCUCAUUCGCCCAAAGAUUUCCAAAAUAUCGUUUGCCGUGAUACGAAGAUAUCGAGAAUAUUGAAAUAUUGCCUGGCUCGAUAAUUAUGCCGUCGAGUUCAUGGGGGAAAAAAUCAAGAUUAAAUUUUGUUUUUAUGACACCGUAUAUAACUGCGAUUGCCGCGACGGCGAACCGCAAGAGAGCAACGCAGCUACCGUGGAAACUGAAAACCCGGCUUAAUGGACCUUCCUGAAGGGUACUUAACCCUCAUCAGCGCUGGUCACCUGGUUAAAAGUUACGCAGAUGUGGCCUUAAUCCGGCUGAAUGCAAGAAAGCGUUGCAUUAACCACUAAAGCGAUCGGUCGUUGAGUGUUCCCCUUAAUGGAUCCUUCCAGGGAACCGUUUAGCGCCGAUUAGCCCAGAUCGUUCGCGUUCUUAUCAUUGUUUUCGGUCGUCACUCGUGUGAACGAACCUUCGAGGGUCUGUCUUUUGCUUCUUAAACCUCGUGCAUUUUUAUGUUUACGGACAAAAUGUAACACCGGAGGAAGAUCGAGCGACGCGAGGAGAAGAACGAAUAGGAAUUUCUUUUUUCUUUUAUUAUUUAAUUUGUACUUUGCAAUUUGUCCAACUGGAUAUUUGGUAAAUUACAAAUACGAAUGAGGAUUAUUUAUAACCCUUUGCACUGCUAUGUCGACUGUGACUCGACGUCAGUUUUUAUCUCAGCAGCUCCUUUGUCGAGUCCCACUCGACAUUCUUCCAGUCGCACCUUUUUUCGCACGUUUCACGUGCGAAAGAAAACAAGGAUUGCAUCCUGGAAAUUGUUUCAAGAUGUAUCAUACACUUAAAAAUUAGAAAAUACAAUAGUGUGGAUAAAACUGGUAUUUAAGUGAAUUUCUUUCUUCCUUUAUUUAUUUAAAUCGUCUUACUUUUUAAUUAAAGUAAAUUUUAAAUAAAACACUUAAGAGUGUUGGGAACCGCCGCUAACAAAAUUGAAAUAAAAUUCGAAGUGCAAAGGGUUAAGCGUUCGGAGAAAGGAAGAAGUUGGAAAGGAGAGCCUAUUAACCGAAGUCACGAAAUCGAGGACAGCGAUCAACAAUUUUGUAAUCGCCGAGUUUUGGAGAAUUAAUUGGCAAUAAUAAGCUAAAUUUCGUAGAUGAAACGAAGAUAUUAAACGUUAAAUAUUAAACGUUGAACAUUAAUUAUUAGAUAUUAAAUAUUAGUCGCUUAUUGCCACAAACGUUCAAUCGAUAGAAACGUACGACGUCUGUAUCGCGAAGCAAGAUAUUCAUACGCGUGAAAUUUCGAAAUUUCCAAAUCUUUUCGUGGAAAUAAAUAAAAAUGGUAAGUUUGUUCGAUCGAUAAAUGGAUGACGAUUACAUGGAAAUUACGAUCGUAUAGCAAAAUUCGUAGCCUUUUGUGAAGUCUACCUAAUCGUUAUAUCGUCGUUACGCUGUAGCUGUGGCAUCUCGUUUAGAAGGAUUUAUGGGUGAAGAGGUAAAUGAUACUUAUUUCCUAACUAAUGACGAAACGAAUCUUUCGAAGCUGUUGAGUAAAGAUAUAGGCGGACGGUAGAAUUAUGGAGCACGUUAAUUCCAGGUAUUUAUCAUUUUCAUACCUACUAUUGUAUUUAUUAUUAAUUAUUACACUAUACAGUCUGUUUAUAGCAAAUAUUAAUAAUUUCCCGGUCAGCGUAUAAAAUUCAUCAAUUCCAAUCUACUUUCGCACAUGUGCGCAAGAAAGAUUUUCUAACUGCAAAAAAGCCGACACAUAACUCUCAAACAUUUUCAUCAAACUACCGUGUAAUUUUCUCUUAACGUGUCUAAUGAUACCCAAGACGUAAUAAAAGAUACUUUAAAAAAUCAAUUUCUUUUUGAACGUAAAUAUCUUUCGAAAGACUGCCAUAAUGUUUAACAAAAAGACAGUUUUGGUAAUAUGUGAUAACGUUUUGCGUUUUGAAAUUGCCGCUAAAUGAAAAACAACAAAAUGUCACUCAUCGCGUUUCUCCACUCUGGCCUUCGAUCGAUUUCAUCGUACAAUUUCAUCGUCGAUCGAACACAGCGCAAAUUGCGAAUCGUGCGCUGCACUCUAAAAAACGUUCGUCAGAAAUGGCACGUCAACGAAGUGGCGCUCUUAAUUAACGAAAGGAUCGUGCAUCCACGUGCACUCAAGCUCACUAACACAAGUUCAAACGCGUUGUGCGUAUGCCAGUGCAAUUAACAUAGUGCGGGGGCAGACUCCCCUGACAAAGGAUAAUCGCUUUCACCCUAUUCUCCCGUGGCGGCCUUACAACUUCUGAAUGUUAUUAAACGUAAUUUAAUAUCUGGCCGUGCCCAACGUGGAUCCCUCGCUGGAAUUUACAACCGAGGACAGGACGAUGUCCUAUUAAAUUGUGCGGCCUGUGGCCGUUAGCCGUGUGCCGUUUCGACAGCAAGCGAUUCCUAUGGCCUCGUCGCGCCACGUGGGCGGCAUCCGUUUCACUUUCUUCGAAGCAGGAAGAGCUUACAGAGCGUUGCGUAACUUCAAUCAACUUUUGUAUACGGUGUAUUCGUGAUUUUACGCUUUUAUAUUUUUUUUCCUUUUCCCUGUUACUUGGUUUCAUUGCGUAAGCAUUAUUCAUACAGAAUGAUUACGAGUGCUGACAGAUACUAUCGGGCCAAGUUACGCAGAAACCUAUCAAAUCUGGACAUGUGAAAGGAUUAGUCAGCGCAGUACGGAUUCCAUAAUUUUGUGAUCUUCGUUUAGCGAGAAAUGAAACAACCCGUGGAACGAUCUUUACGUUACGCGUUUGUCGAAACUACCAAAGCAUAGUUUCAAUUUAGGCUUGUAAUUAUUUUGCAGGGAACUUCCGAACCACGUAUUAAUUAUGCUACUCACUGUGGCGUAAAGAUAAUGUAUAUGUUUCAAUCCAUGGAACCAAGUCCAAUUUCUAGGCUAAUAGGCUGAAACGGGUAAACUGUUGCCGCUACUGCUCGUUAUUAAAUAAGAGCGCCAUUAAGAAGAACAUCGUAAAACGACAGGUUUGUUAGUUUCUUUUAAAAAUUCGCUCGUACAAAAUUCGUAAGGUCGUUUUGCCGACAUAAAUGAGUUGAAACGGGCUUGAAAGGAGGCUGGGUAGUUAGGACGCGCGUCAACUUUCACGUGGUGAGAUCUGGACAUUCGUUAAUCGAUAUAUAAUUACUAAUUACAUCCAAUUAAUACCAAUUAAUUCAUCAAACUGUUACUAACGUUCUCGUUCAUCUCUCAAAUUAUAAAUUGAGAUUUUUCGCUGGCGCGUGACAAAGUAAUACUAUUCUCCAACCGAAUGAUUCGAUUCUUCAAAGUAACUUCCAUUACGUUAGACGAUCCUCUUCUGCGAUAAUUCUGUACUUGAAAAAUAUAAAAGAUAAAAGAAUCAUCGAUGGAGUUAGUAUCGUAAUGCCAAGUAUGCGGGCUCCUUAUACCGUAAAAUUUCAAACGACGUAGCAAUUCGUAAAGGUUCCUACAAUUUCCUAACGAUUAUAGGGGUCUACCUGAUCUUCCGUAAAUUUACACGAGCCUAAUACCUUGCAUCUUCCCUAACGAGAAAAACCACAAUCUCGAUAUAUCUUUCGCAGAAGGGCGGCGCCUGCUCUUCUUAGGCUCGCGAUAAAUAUCGUUGACCGGUUAGGGUAAAUAAUUGAUCAGGAUAAGGACGAGCAAUUAACGAGGCUAUCGGUCGAUUCGUGGAAAGAAAUGGAGGACAAUCACGCAACGGGCAACCGUGAGAUUUCUUAGUCGCGAUAAAUCUCCCGUUUUCUCCCCUCUAUACCAUUCUUCUCCUCUCUUCUGGCAUCAGUUUCUCUUUCACGAGUACCGUUAGGGGCAUGUAAGUGCGGCUAAGUUUAUUAGAGCAAUUUCCAACACCGACGACAACAAUGGUCUGAACGACGAACGAUAAGGGGAGAGAAAUGCAUCGAGAAAGUUGCCUACUAUCCAAGAGGGUUUCCAUGACGACCCAUUAUCCGAAAGGCCAUAAUUGCCGCGGUCCCUCGUUGCGGCUCUGGUAAUUAUUGCCUUUCGUUUUCACUUUGUAAUCGCGGCGUUCUUCUUUAAAACUUUGGAAUUCUUCCCGGUUCUUUUAUAUCGCCGCGAAAGUUUGAUUGGAUGGGUUAUUAACCUUGGUAUUCCCCUUGGGCAAUUUUUAAUACCGUCCUGUUGGUCCAGCUUUUUCCUAGAACUUUGUUUUAGAGCUCACCGACUUUACGAUACUGUUUUAUAACAUUUCCUAUACGCGCGUAUUUUAUAAUACCUUACAGCACAACUUUCAGUUUCGUAACGAUCUGACGAGCCUUGAAAUUAGUAUUUGUGGAAUUUAUUGGUUAAAAAUGAUCGUAAAAGUAGCACGGCUCGAAUAAAUUUCGCGUGAAGAGCGAAACAAUGUUUGCGAGCUUAUAAACAAAUCACGUAGACGCGUAACGUUGACGAGAGGAAUAGAAUCUACGAAACAAUGGUUGCUGCGUGUCCCUUGCUUUUCUCUUAUCUUUACCGUUUCGAGUAAAAGCAGGUAACAGGCGCGGCAACUUUUGUUACUUGGAAACGAGAAGAAACAGGGAGAAAAAUUGGAGGAACUAGAACCAAGGACUUCCUAUCGAGUCAAGAGCGUCUCUCCUGUUUCGUACCAUUCGUACGCGCGCAAAACUCCAUUUACUCGGACGUAUUCCUUCAUCACGAUUUUUCGGUAAUUUUAACAAAGAAUUCAACGAACCAAAACGUUUCUUUCUUGCGUCAGGAUUAAGCACUCGAUAUAAUUAAGUUCCAACGUUCUGACGGUCUUCUCACGCUUGUUCAAGCAACGUGCAACAUCAACGAAACUCGUAGUUGCUUCUCAGCGGGCACCUAAUUUAAAGCUUAACCAGAAGAAAAAGUGCGUAAACUGGCGCGAUAAAUCCUGGAAACAAUUGAACAACCUCGAAAACGCGCUCUUCAACGUUCAAACAGCCCGAACGUUGCCUAGUUCCCUGGAAGCACAACGAGCAACGUUUCAACAAAGAGUACAUAGGCGUAAGCCUGGCACCUCGUAAUUGGCGCUCAGUCGUACGAUCUACGAUCGUGAUGUUCGCACGCGAUAACGAUAAAUCUCGAGGAAAUAAGGUAGAAUUGGAGGCAGGGUUAACCGAGAGUGAGAGAGAGAGAGAGAGAGAGAGAAUGAAAGAGAGAGAGAGAAAGAAUGUCAUGGCACGCAUGAGUCUUAUGAAUUCUUUCACGAAACGAACAGGCCUGUCGCGCGCAGCCCGCAGGAGCGUAACAACGGUCUGCUCUUUCGUAAAUUAUUUUCUGUAGCUCUGUGGAUGUAGCGAAAAGAGAGAAAGAGACGGAGGUGGAGGACAGUUAAAAAGAAGGCGAAAAUCGGAGUACAAACAGAAUCGGAUGAGAGGUGGACUAAGGGAAUCGAGGGGCAAGGGUUUCCACGAGUGUUUAGCCUUGACAUUCGCCUCCCACAUCCUGUCAGCCGAACAGUGGCUCUCAUAUCAAGUCGACGCUCGCGCCCAAUUGCUUCUUCCGCGAGCAAAUUUUGUUGACGUUGGAAUUUUCUAGCAAAUUGCGAGAAUUAUCGUCUCGUGCUAUUGUUAUAUCGUUCCUCGAAAUGUCCCUGUCGUGUUCGAUGGCUUGGGAUGGCUUCCCUUUUCCAACUCCGGUGCCGUUUUAUGGCGUAGAAUAAAGAGGACGUUGCUUUUUUUAUGGAAUUGAUCGCUCGAGGUAUGUAUUUUGGUAGAAGUGGUGUUUCGCUGGGUGGAGAGUUCUCUCCAGGUACGAAAUAAUUCGACCGUGAAACUCUGUCGUCGCAUUGUAAAUUACAGCGAUGUGUUGUUUAGUUAGUUUACGAAGAAUUUGAAUAUUUUAUUUGUUUUAAACGUUUAAAUGUACGUAAAUGAGAACUGAUGGCAAUAAAAUAGAACAAAAAGCAAUUUUUCUGCUUGGAGCUAGUCGGUUCAUCUUCCUCGACAAUUUCUUCAUUUGCAUAUUUUUUCUUCUGCGUUUCAGCGUUUCACCUUGGCUUCCACCGGACGUUUUCCUGCUUAAAACGCCUGCAAACAUUUAUUCUCGGACGGCAGUUCUUUUCUUUCCAAAAAUGUUAAUAGGAGGAAGAAGAAUUUGCAUUACAACGAUAACAUUUUAAGAGAACGUCCUGUUUAUGAAAUAGUAAACCGCGGAGGCAAGAAAAGAUCUUGGCUGGAACAAAGUUCAGUCUCGGACUUAGUAUCGAGUCUAAAAACAUUCGCGCGCAAACUAUCGGAUAACCUCAAACAUUUCAUUUUGAAAUAUCAACCCUAUAGUCAACGUUAUUGCACUUUAUUUCAAAUUACUAUUUACGUAUAAUAUUAUUAUUAGAAGAUAUAAUACACGAUAUGUGACACAGAUUAAAAGUAACAAAUCUUAGCUAGAAAUAACAUUUGCAAAACGAAUCAUUCGAUUCUCCAGUUCAUGUUCUCCAUCUUUUUCGAUCCUCUCGAUUUCUGUUUCGAAAAUACUGAAAAUUUUAUUGCCUUUGCAGGAUAAAUUCCACGUUUCUAAAACACUGAAAACUCGCUCUUUCUCCUUACGUAAGCCGUUAAAACGUUAAAACCAAACCUUUCUCCUUACAUAAACCGUUAAACGUAAAAAUAAAAAAAUCCUAACACGAUAAAAACAAUCUUACGAAUAUACGAGGCAAACAACCAGUAAAUAACAAGAAAAACAAAAGAAAUAGAAAGAAGCUGUUUGAAUUAUUAUGAGGAUAGAAACGAGCAAGAUCCUCUUGAGAAACGACAAAUAAAAAAUCUCGAUUUAAAAAACAUCCGGCAACGAGAGCGAAUUAAGAACGAAUCGCGCAACGAAACACGAUCGCGAUUUCGUGGAAGAACGGUACUUUUCAGCUUGAACGUGGCCGGUCCUUAAAAGAAAACGUGCCAAGGACAGCAGCGAUCAACGACGAUUCUCUCUCUCUCUCUCUCUCUCUCUCGUCUUCUCUUCUCGUCUCUCGUGGUCGAGAUCGGUCGUUUAUUAAUUUACAUGCGGACUCGGCCGAAGGCGCCAGCCGGAUGGAGAACCGGAGGAGGAUCGACGACGAUGACGCGUUUAGUCGUUGCACUACCACGCUUCUGCUCUUCCGAGUUGCUCGCCUAUAAACAUCGAUGAUAUCGUCGAACAAUAAAAUCAAAAUCGAACAAGGAUUAUUUCGUCCUUUCGUCAACUGCGUGUGCGCUCUGCGACGGUAUAGAACAGCGGACUUUAAAACGAACCAACUUCCUUCCACGUAACUGCGAUACAAUUUCGGUCGUGGAAAAUAGCCAGCAAAUAGUUGGAAAACUGUUUUUUAAAAGCAUUGUUUAUCCGACGACGCGACGAGUUCGUGGAAUCGAGCGUUUUCUAUGGAAAAUCUCAACUCGCGGUGUCUUCAGCGCAACACAUGCUCCGAGUCGUUUAUUUCCUGGCAGCUUCUGAAAUUUAUUCAUUCAC
This is a long non-coding RNA of Bombus pyrosoma, 8643 nucleotides long. RefSeq lists it as uncharacterized. NCBI's taxonomy places the organism in Eukaryota, Metazoa, Arthropoda, Insecta, Hymenoptera, Apidae. The record is from RefSeq and is a predicted model, not a curated record. The transcript is spliced from 2 exons.